UUCUUAUCAAGAGUGGUGGAGGGACUGGCCCUAUGAAACCCGGCAACCGGUAUGUGUUCCAUUUAACAUAUACAAUGGUGCCAAAUCCUGCAGCUAUAUUAGCUGACAGAUAAGAG
Molecule: non-coding RNA, 116 nt
Filed under: Clostridium cavendishii
Lineage: Bacteria; Bacillati; Bacillota; Clostridia; Eubacteriales; Clostridiaceae
Also listed under: 1 other name
Description: SAM-I sequence
Rfam family: SAM riboswitch aptamer (S box leader)
About the family: The SAM riboswitch is found upstream of a number of genes which code for proteins involved in methionine or cysteine biosynthesis in Gram-positive bacteria.
Source: RNAcentral